CGAACGCUGGCGGCGUGCCUAAUACAUGCAAGUAGAACGCUGAGGACUGGUGCUUGCACUGGUUUAAGGAGUUGCGAACGGGUGAGUAACGCGUAGGUAACCUACCUCAUAGCGGGGGAUAACUAUUGGAAACGAUAGCUAAUACCGCAUGACAAUAGGGUACACAUGUACCCUAUUUAAAAGGGGCAAAUGCUUCACUAUGAGAUGGACCUGCGUUGUAUUAGCUAGUUGGUAAGGUAACGGCUUACCAAGGCGACGAUACAUAGCCGACCUGAGAGGGUGAUCGGCCACACUGGGACUGAGACACGGCCCAGACUCCUACGGGAGGCAGCAGUAGGGAAUCUUCGGCAAUGGGGGGAACCCUGACCGAGCAACGCCGCGUGAGUGAAGAAGGUUUUCGGAUCGUAAAGCUCUGUUGUUAGAGA
Molecule: ribosomal RNA, 425 nt
Filed under: uncultured Streptococcus sp.
Lineage: Bacteria; Bacillati; Bacillota; Bacilli; Lactobacillales; Streptococcaceae
Description: bacterial SSU rRNA
Rfam family: Bacterial small subunit ribosomal RNA
Source: RNAcentral